This 1502-nucleotide long non-coding RNA is filed under the name Heterocephalus glaber (naked mole-rat). Its description in RNAcentral is "lncRNA (ENSHGLG00100036174.1)". The record is from RNAcentral. Lineage: Eukaryota; Metazoa; Chordata; Mammalia; Rodentia; Bathyergidae.
CCUGUUCUGAGUCAAAGCGGGUCCUGUGUUCUGUUGUGGCAGCAGCCCAGCCCAAGUCGGUGGGCCUGGGGCCUUCUCUUAGAAGGCAGAAGGUGGUACGUUUUCCGUGUUGAUCACUUUUGACGACUAAAGCUGAAAUGGGCUGAUGAGUGCCGGUCAACUUGAACCAGUCGUGUAAAGGGAGUUUCUUGUGCUGGGAAGCCUUCCUGGCCCCAAAUCACACCCACUGGAGUAUAGGACAGGCUAUUCUUAUUGGCAGAGACACACUGAUCCGGGACCCUGGCUGGGUAGAAAGGCAAAGAGGUGGCCCUUGCACUUGUCCUUAACCAGGCCUUUGGCAAUGGAGAUGACAGUCACGGGGGGAGGGGGUCAGCCAUGGCUGUUGGACAAUGUAGGAUCUGGUGAUGCUUAAGAUUCUUUUUCAGCAGAUUCCAGAAAGGACAAUGUAUGAAGAUUCUGGAUGCUGAUGAAUUGAAGUUUCUAAUUUUCAGAAAACAUGGAGUUUCCAUGUGAUUGGUCAGAGGCUGGGGCAUUGCCUAGAGAACAGGUGCUCCCACUUGAACUUAGCUCUCUGGACUUCUGACUGUUGUCUCAUUUCUCCCGGGAAAUCUUUUCUUUUGUUCUGUGGUGUUUUUUUUUUUAUAAAGUGAUCAUAGACACAUGUUGUAUAACCCAGUGUGGCUCUGAAUCUGAGUGACCUUUGUCUGUCUUUGGGUGCUAUGUGGUCAUAUUUAGCUUGUCUCUGGGGAGAUGCUCACCAAGACAAAUCUCACUGCAGCAAGGCCUUUGUUCAAUGGUAAACUUCUGCUCUCUAUUACAUAGGCCAGUUUGGUCAAAACUUGCAUUAAGUGGCUGAUUUAUGACCAUCUUAAUAUUGAUAGACAAAUGCUUCAAUUUAUCAUUGAUGUCUUGGGAAAGGACUAUCCAAGAACUUUCUUUUCACAUUGGCCAGUAUUUCCAUAGGCAUUUUCUUCAAACAUACAGGUAUCGUCCAUCAUAUAGGUUGUUUUAUGUAGGGCUUAAAUUAGAAAACCCUAAUAUACUUUAUAUCCAUUCCUGAAAUACUUCAUGAUAUAGGAAGGCAUGGAAAGGAAGGUCAUGAUGCUGGGCAAGUGGUUGUUGGAGAGUCUUGCCUGCAGGAACAAGCUGUUCUAUAGGCUGAUCAGGUGUCUUGCAGUGCCACUACCAACUAUGGCAUAAAUAAAUACCUUCUUGUAGCGUUCUGUCUGACCAUGCUCAGUUUGUCUAGCUGGAUGCUCAGAAAUAUAUCCAUCCUGUUGAGGCUGUUGUGAGAUGUAGCCUUGUAGGUGCUAUGUCUAUCCCAUACAGCACAGGGGCAAAGUGAGGCGGGUAUGGCUGUUUGGGGUCCUGCUUGGAAGAUCUUGAGAUUAUGGGAAAUGAGGUGAGAGGUCCACUCAUGGGAGUGGAUAACUCAGUCAUCUUGAAGAACCAGUCACCUGGCUUGUUGGAAAGAGCUUGUCUGAGUGACGGAUGAACCACUG